This 497-nucleotide ribosomal RNA is filed under the name uncultured bacterium. Its description in RNAcentral is "partial 16S ribosomal RNA". It matches the Rfam family "Bacterial small subunit ribosomal RNA", at positions 28 to 507 of the family's 1533-position model. The record is from RNAcentral.
GACGAACGCUGGCGGCGUGCCUAAUACAUGCAAGUUGAGCGCUGAAGGUUGGUACUUGUACCAACUGGAUGAGCAGCGAACGGGUGAGUAACGCGUGGGGAAUCUGCCUUUGAGCGGGGGACAACAUUUGGAAACGAGUGCUAAUACCGCAUAAAAACUUUAAACACAAGUUUUAAGUUUGAAAGAUGCAAUUGCAUCACUCAAAGAUGAUCCCGCGUUGUAUUAGCUAGUUGGUGAGGUAAAGGCUCACCAAGGCGAUGAUACAUAGCCGACCUGAGAGGGUGAUCGGCCACAUUGGGACUGAGACACGGCCCAAACUCCUACGGGAGGCAGCAGUAGGGAAUCUUCGGCAAUGGACGAAAGUCUGACCGAGCAACGCCGCGUGAGUGAAGAAGGUUUUCGGAUCGUAAAACUCGGUUGGUAGAGAAGAACGUUGGUGAGAGUGGAAAGCUCAUCAAGUGACGGUAACUACCCAGAAAGGGACGGCUAACUACGUG